RNAcentral lists this ribosomal RNA (253 nucleotides) under uncultured bacterium. RNAcentral's name for it is "partial 16S ribosomal RNA". It matches the Rfam family "Bacterial small subunit ribosomal RNA", at positions 524 to 776 of the family's 1533-position model. The record is from RNAcentral.
AACGUAGGUGGCGAGCGUUAUCCGGAUUUACUGGGCGUAAAGGGCGUGCAGGCGGUUUGUUUAGUCUAGGGUGAAAGCUCCCGGCUUAACUGGGAGAGGUCCUUGGAUACUGGCAAACUUGAGGGAGGCAGAGGAAAGUGGAAUUCCCGGUGUAGUGGUGAUAUGCGUAGAUAUCGGGAGGAACACCAGUGGCGAAGGCGGCUUUCUGGGCCUUACCUGACGCUGAGACGCGAAAGCGUGGGGAGCGAACCGG